GGGCUCUUGGCACAGUUGGUAGCGCGCACGCUUCGCAGGAGGUCUGCCCCCAAGCCCAUGCGUGAGGUCGUGGGUUCAACUCCCACAGUGUCCA
RNAcentral lists this transfer RNA (94 nucleotides) under Galerina marginata CBS 339.88. It matches the Rfam family "tRNA". From Rfam's summary of the family: Transfer RNA (tRNA) molecules are approximately 80 nucleotides in length. Their secondary structure includes four short double-helical elements and three loops (D, anti-codon, and T loops). Further hydrogen bonds mediate the characteristic L-shaped molecular structure. tRNAs have two regions of fundamental functional importance: the anti-codon, which is responsible for specific mRNA codon recognition, and the 3' end, to which the tRNAs corresponding amino acid is attached (by aminoacyl-tRNA synthetases). tRNAs cope with the degeneracy of the genetic code in two manners: having more than one tRNA (with a specific anti-codon) for a particular amino acid; and 'wobble' base-pairing, i.e. permitting non-standard base-pairing at the 3rd anti-codon position. The record is from Rfam by way of RNAcentral. Lineage: Eukaryota; Fungi; Basidiomycota; Agaricomycetes; Agaricales; Galerinaceae.